This 253-nucleotide ribosomal RNA is filed under the name uncultured bacterium. RNAcentral's name for it is "partial 16S ribosomal RNA". It matches the Rfam family "Bacterial small subunit ribosomal RNA", at positions 524 to 776 of the family's 1533-position model. The record is from RNAcentral.
UACGUAGGGUGCGAGCGUUGUCCGGAAUUAUUGGGUGUAAAGAGCUCGUAGGCGGCUUGUCGCGUCGGAUGUGAAAGCCCGGGGCUUAACUCCGGGUCUGCAUUCGAUACGGGCAGGCUAGAGUGUGGUAGGGGAGAUCGGAAUUCCUGGUGUAGCGGUGAAAUGCGCAGAUAUCAGGAGGAACACCGGUGGCGAAGGCGGGUCUCUGGGCCAAUACUGACGCUGAGGAGCGAAAGCGUGGGGAGCGAACAGG